This 253-nucleotide ribosomal RNA is filed under the name uncultured bacterium. Its description in RNAcentral is "partial 16S ribosomal RNA". It matches the Rfam family "Bacterial small subunit ribosomal RNA", at positions 524 to 776 of the family's 1533-position model. The record is from RNAcentral.
UACAGAGGGGGCAAGCGUUGUUCGGAAUUACUGGGCGUAAAGGGCGCGUAGGCGGCCUGUUAAGUCGAACGUGAAAUCCCUGGGCUCAACCCAGGAACUGCGUCCGAUACUGGCAGGCUUGAAUUCGGGAGAGGGAUGCGGAAUUCCAGGUGUAGCGGUGAAAUGCGUAGAUAUCUGGAGGAACACCGGUGGCGAAGGCGGCAUCCUGGACCGAUAUUGACGCUGAGGCGCGAAGGCCAGGGGAGCAAACGGG